CGUGUAGGCUGCUUCAAAAGUCGGGUGUGAAAGCCCUGGGCUCAACCUAGGAAGUGCACUCGAAACUGCGGAGCUUGAGUCCUGGAGAGGAAGGCGGAAUUCUCGGUGUAGAGGUGAAAUUCGUAGAUAUCGAGAGGAACACCGGUGGCGAAGGCGGCCUUCUGGACAGUGACUGACGCUGAGACGCGAAAGCGUGGGGAGCAAACAGGAUUAGAUACCCUGGUAGUCCACGCCGUAAACGAUGGGUGCUAGGUGUCGCGGGCUUUGACCCCUGCGGUGCCGUAGCUAACGCAUUAAGCACCCCGCCUGGGGAGUACGGCCGCAAGGCUAAA
RNAcentral lists this ribosomal RNA (332 nucleotides) under uncultured bacterium. RNAcentral describes it as "bacterial SSU rRNA". It matches the Rfam family "Bacterial small subunit ribosomal RNA", at positions 568 to 898 of the family's 1533-position model. The record is from RNAcentral.